UGUGGGAGCGAGCUUGCUCGCGAUGGCGGCGGUUCAGUUACAUGAGUAUUGAACUGGCUGGCCUCAUCGCGAGCAAGCUCGCUCCCACA
Molecule: unclassified non-coding RNA, 89 nt
Filed under: Pseudomonas brassicacearum
Lineage: Bacteria; Pseudomonadati; Pseudomonadota; Gammaproteobacteria; Pseudomonadales; Pseudomonadaceae
Source: RNAcentral